AGAGUUAGAUGAAGAUGAAGUUGAAAAUUUGGAGGGUGAGCCAGGAAAAGGAUGAAAGAUUCUAAGAGCACUAGGAAUAGGAACAUGAAGGAAAGCAUUAUUGUGCAUGGAGAUUUAGGCCUGAUGUUUUCCUGAUGCCUCCUAUUCCUAAGGCUCUUAGGUUCUCCUUCCCUUUCCUUAUGGCUUGCGAAAUCAAUGUUAAUCAGAUCAAAAGAGAUGGGGUCAGGGUACACUAUGCUGGUUGCAAGCAAGCAAGAGAAAGAAUGAGAGAGGGACUGAGAACAGUGGCUAGUGGGAAACUGGGAAUGGGAACAUGGAGGAAAGCUAAGUUAAAUUUCUUCGUUUCUUCUCCAGUAAUGGAGGGUUUAAUCUGCUUUGGUCUUUCCCUGUGCCUCUCAUUCCUAUUACUCUCAACCACUCCUUCCUCGUCCUUUUUUUGCUUACAAUGUUGUUUCAAACGCUAAAACAAAAUAAUGAACUCUUUCCCAUGUGAGGAUGAUGGA
This is a long non-coding RNA of Zea mays, 503 nucleotides long. RefSeq annotates it as MIR2118gHG. Lineage: Eukaryota; Viridiplantae; Streptophyta; Magnoliopsida; Poales; Poaceae. The record is from RefSeq and is marked validated.